GUCGUGAUAGUCUAGUGGUUAGGACAUUGCGUUGUGGCCGUGAGAACCUAAGUUUGAAUCCGGGUCAUGGCA
This 72-nucleotide transfer RNA is filed under the name Schistocephalus solidus. It matches the Rfam family "tRNA". Rfam says of the family: Transfer RNA (tRNA) molecules are approximately 80 nucleotides in length. Their secondary structure includes four short double-helical elements and three loops (D, anti-codon, and T loops). Further hydrogen bonds mediate the characteristic L-shaped molecular structure. tRNAs have two regions of fundamental functional importance: the anti-codon, which is responsible for specific mRNA codon recognition, and the 3' end, to which the tRNAs corresponding amino acid is attached (by aminoacyl-tRNA synthetases). tRNAs cope with the degeneracy of the genetic code in two manners: having more than one tRNA (with a specific anti-codon) for a particular amino acid; and 'wobble' base-pairing, i.e. permitting non-standard base-pairing at the 3rd anti-codon position. The record is from Rfam by way of RNAcentral. Lineage: Eukaryota; Metazoa; Platyhelminthes; Cestoda; Diphyllobothriidea; Diphyllobothriidae.